RNAcentral lists this ribosomal RNA (253 nucleotides) under uncultured bacterium. RNAcentral's name for it is "partial 16S ribosomal RNA". It matches the Rfam family "Bacterial small subunit ribosomal RNA", at positions 524 to 776 of the family's 1533-position model. The record is from RNAcentral.
UACAGGGGGUGCAAACGUUGCUCGGAAUCAUUGGGCGUAAAGCGCACGUAGGCGGUCUGUUAUGUCGGAUGUGAAAGCCCUUGGCUCAACUGAGGAAGUGCAUCCGAAACUGGCAGGCUAGAGUACUAAAGAGGAUCGCGGAAUUCCCGGUGUAGAGGUGAAAUUCGUAGAUAUCGGGAGGAACACCGGUGGCGAAGGCGGCGAUCUGGGUAGAUACUGACGCUGAGGUGCGAAAGCUAGGGGAGCAAACGGG